Molecule: ribosomal RNA, 811 nt
Filed under: uncultured Mycobacterium sp.
Lineage: Bacteria; Bacillati; Actinomycetota; Actinomycetes; Mycobacteriales; Mycobacteriaceae
Description: bacterial SSU rRNA
Rfam family: Bacterial small subunit ribosomal RNA
Source: RNAcentral
CUGGGCGUAAAGAGCUCGUAGGUGGUUUGUCGCGUUGUUCGUGAAAUCUCACGGCUUAACUGUGAGCGUGCGGGCGAUACGGGCAGACUUGAGUACUGCAGGGGAGACUGGAAUUCCUGGUGUAGCGGUGGAAUGCGCAGAUAUCAGGAGGAACACCGGUGGCGAAGGCGGGUCUCUGGGCAGUAACUGACGCUGAGGAGCGAAAGCGUGGGGAGCGAACAGGAUUAGAUACCCUGGUAGUCCACGCCGUAAACGGUGGGUACUAGGUGUGGGUUUCCUUCCUCGGGAUCCGUGCCGUAGCUAACGCAUUAAGUACCCCGCCUGGGGAGUACGGCCGCAAGGCUAAAACUCAAAGAAAUUGACGGGGGCCCGCACAAGCGGCGGAGCAUGUGGAUUAAUUCGAUGCAACGCGAAGAACCUUACCUGGGUUUGACAUGCACAGGACGCCGGCAGAGAUGUCGGUUCCCUUGUGGCCUGUGUGCAGGUGGUGCAUGGCUGUCGUCAGCUCGUGUCGUGAGAUGUUGGGUUAAGUCCCGCAACGAGCGCAACCCUUGUCUCAUGUUGCCAGCGGGUAAUGCCGGGGACUCGUGAGAGACUGCCGGGGUCAACUCGGAGGAAGGUGGGGAUGACGUCAAGUCAUCAUGCCCCUUAUGUCCAGGGCUUCACACAUGCUACAAUGGCCGGUACAAAGGGCUGCGAUGCCGCGAGGUUAAGCGAAUCCUUUUAAAGCCGGUCUCAGUUCGGAUCGGGGUCUGCAACUCGACCCCGUGAAGUCGGAGUCGCUAGUAAUCGCAGAUCAGCAACGCUGCGG